RNAcentral lists this unclassified non-coding RNA (224 nucleotides) under uncultured fungus. RNAcentral describes it as "partial contains 5.8S ribosomal RNA, internal transcribed spacer 2, and large subunit ribosomal RNA". The stretch from base 1 to 52 matches the Rfam family "5.8S ribosomal RNA", at positions 103 to 154 of the family's 154-position model. The record is from RNAcentral. Lineage: Eukaryota; Fungi.
AACGCACCUUGCACCCUUUGGUAUUCCGAAGGGUAUGCCUGUCUGAGUGUCAUUAGACCAUCUCUCCCAUCCGUUUCGGACAAGAGAGCUUUGGGGGUCUGCCUGUCUUAUCCGGCUCCCCUUAAAUGCCUUAGUGAAUUAUCGAUCCAAGUUGCUUGAUCUUUCACUCUAACACACACUCUUGAUUUGACCUCAGAUCAGGUAGGACUACCCGCUGAACUUAA